UCCCAAGGCUAAAUACUCCCUAGUGACCGAUAGUGAACCAGUACCGUGAGGGAAAGGUGAAAAGCACCCCGGGAGGGGAGUGAAAGAGUACCUGAAACCGUGUGCCUACAAGUAGUCGAAGCGCGUUCAUGCGUAACGGCGUACCUUUUGUAGAAUGGACCGGCGAGUUACGAUUGUAUGCAAGGUUAAGUGGAAGACACGGAGCCGUAGCGAAAGCGAGUCUGAAUAGGGCGAUUUAGUAUGCGGUCGUAGACCCGAAACCGUGUGAUCUACCCAUGUCCAGGGUGAAGGUCAGGUAACACUGACUGG
This 309-nucleotide ribosomal RNA is filed under the name Bacilli bacterium. RNAcentral describes it as "bacterial LSU rRNA". It matches the Rfam family "Bacterial large subunit ribosomal RNA", at positions 458 to 769 of the family's 2925-position model. The record is from RNAcentral. Lineage: Bacteria; Bacillati; Bacillota; Bacilli.